RNAcentral lists this long non-coding RNA (1374 nucleotides) under Triticum aestivum (bread wheat). Its description in RNAcentral is "long non-coding RNA (TAES_LNC003414)". The record is from RNAcentral. Lineage: Eukaryota; Viridiplantae; Streptophyta; Magnoliopsida; Poales; Poaceae.
UGGUAUCAAAGUGAUGGGUCGAAGAAAUGAGGGGGAGUAGAGAGAAGACAGGUGUCCCUCCCUCCUAUUGGCGCCACGAAAGCUUUUUUUCCUUCUCCGGGACGUCGCUAUCAUGAUUAGUGGCGUGCGGGCAAGUGAUGCCACUGCCCCAACCACACCAAAGUGUAAGCAGUUUCGUCCGAGUCGUAAGGUAUGCAUUUCCCUAUGUGGCCCGCCGCGUACGUGGGUGUCUGAAUGCCUCCUAUGCGGUGAUGCUUGCGCUCUAGCUACAAGCAAAAUCUUUUGGCUUCAUUUUGGGUGGACACGAGAUAGUUCAGGGUACCGUUUGUAAGGCCUAGAAGAUCAAAUUACUACAGAUUGUAAUCUACCAAAAUCAAUGUUGUUUCAAGGAGAGUAUCUUGUCCUUCAAUUCAGCAAAAAAGUGUAGUAUCAGAGUGAUGUGUUGAAGCUAUCAUGUGCUACUUUCAUCCGCUUUGUCUGCGUCUGAUUUAUGUGUUUGGUGAUAGUGUCAUUUUGUGGUGGUGACAGAUGGAUAAUGCAAGUGGUGCAAGGAUCGAGAAGCGCUAGCAACCUCACUCCCUUGAGUGGUUGUCAAGUUGACAUUGUGGCGUUGUUUCCUCUUUUAUUCGGUGAUGGGUUCCAGUUGGUGCAUGUCCCAUACGUGUCAUCAUUUAAUCGACUCCACCUCGAACGUGGAUAAACAACACACUAUAUUAGGAUCAUGCAUGUGAAGGACUUUAAUUCCAUAUAUUGAUUGAUUCUUUUGUGUUGCAAACAUAUGCUCUCGGAUCAACCACCUACAAAGUCUAGCUAGAUGUGGUAAUAAGAUUUAUGAGUUCAAAUCAUUUUGACUAGAUAGACAAGUUUACUUAUCAAUGUUUUGGCUACCCAAAAUAUAAUUUUUGUGUUACUAAAACACAUGUGUAAAUGUCAAAGCAUGGUGUAGUGAUAAAUUGUUAUGAUCAAUUUUGUUCAUUGAUGUUGUGGUUCUCGUCAGUUUGUUCAGAUGUUGUGCUUCAUUGUGUUGCCCUGGUGAAUUUGUUGUACUCGUUCUAAGUUAUCGAGAUUUGUGGAGUCGAGCUCAAGCCUUCAUGAUAUUUUGAAGACUUCCGAUCUAUCAUCGAAAAGGUCAAGCCGACUACGGUAUGGGAGAGGUGACAGCGAUGCGUCAACGUCUUAUUCUGGUGGCGGUUGUUGUCGUUUGAUGGUCUAGAGACCUCCAUGGAACUUUUAUUAUGUUUGAGGUACUUUGUAUUUCUGAUAAACUUUUAUAAUAGAUCUGUAUCCUUUUUAGAAAAAAGUCUAAUAUCAGAGUGAUGCGUAGAAGCUAUCAUGUUCUAUUGUCAUCCGUUUGCUUUACAUGUUUGGUGAUAG